GAUGAACGUUGGCGGCGUGCCUAACACAUGCAAGUCGAACGAACAGCCGGAUUCUUCGGAAACCGGUGGGUGAGUGGCGAACGGGUGAGUAACACGUGGGUAACCUGCCCCGAAGCGGGGGAUAACUGCUGGAAACGGCAGCUAAUACCGCAUGUGCUUAUCUGGACGGAUGUCUGGAUAAGUAAAGUUUUUGCGCUUCGGGAGGGGCUCGCGGCCGAUUAGCUAGUUGGCGAGGUAAUGGCUCACCAAGGCGAUGAUCGGUAGGGGGCGUGAGAGCGUGACCCCCCACACUGGAACUGAGACACGGUCCAGACUCCUACGGGAGGCAGCAGUGAGGAAUAUUGCACAAUGGGCGAAAGCCUGAUGCAGCAACGCCGCGUGGGGGACGAAGGCCUUCGGGUCGUAAACCCCUUUUCUGUGGGAAGAGAAAGGACGGUACCACAGGAAUAAGUCUCGGCUAACUACGUGCCAGCAGCCGCGGUAAAACGUAGGAGGCGAACGUUAUCCGGAUUUACUGGGCGUAAAGCGCUCGCAGGCGGCUUCGUAAGUCUGACGUGAAAGCUCCCGGCUUAACCGGGAGAUGCCGUUGGAUACUGCGGAGCUUGAGGACAGGAGAGGAAAGUGGAAUUCCCGGUGUAGCGGUGGAAUGCGUAGAUAUCGGGAGGAACUCCAGUGGCGAAGGCGACUUUCUGGCCUGUUCCUGACGCUCAGGAGCGAAAGCGUGGGUAGCGAACAGGAUUAGAUACCCUGGUAGUCCCCGCUGUAAACGAUGUGAACUAGGUGUCGGUAGUGUUAUGCUAUCGGUGCCGUAGCUAACGCGUUAAGUUCACCGCCUGGGGACUACGGCCGCAAGGCUAAAACUCAAAGGAAUUGACGG
This 877-nucleotide ribosomal RNA is filed under the name uncultured Chloroflexota bacterium. Its description in RNAcentral is "bacterial SSU rRNA". It matches the Rfam family "Bacterial small subunit ribosomal RNA", at positions 28 to 916 of the family's 1533-position model. Lineage: Bacteria; Bacillati; Chloroflexota. The record is from RNAcentral.